This is an RNA transcript of Apodemus sylvaticus (European woodmouse), 1191 nucleotides long. It is a transcript of the gene named tryptase-like, with no coding region annotated. The transcript is spliced from 6 exons. Lineage: Eukaryota; Metazoa; Chordata; Mammalia; Rodentia; Muridae. The record is from RefSeq and is a predicted model, not a curated record.
AAGAUCAAAGACAGCUACAGUGAUCUCUCCCAGACCCUGAAGCAGAGUGGCCAAGCCACUAGAGACCUCAAGCUCCUGGAAUGGGCCUACCUUCCUGCUCCCAGGGUCCUGGCUUGUUCUGCACCCCAAAACCCGAUAGACCUAGGACUGCUCCUCACUGUGUCCAAAUGCUGAAGCUGCUGCUGCUGACAUUGCCCCUCCUGUGCAGUCUGGUGCAUGCAGCCCCUGGUCCAGCUCAGCCACGAGAGGGCAUUGUGGGGGGACAGGAGGCACCUGAGAACAGGUGGCCCUGGCAGGUGAGCAUGCGUGUAUACGACAACUACUGGAGGCAUCAUUGUGGCGGCUCCCUCAUCCACCCACAGUGGGUGCUCACGGCGGCACACUGUGUGGGACCGGCUAUCAUUGUCCCCAACAUGGUCAGAGUAACACUCGGAAAUAAGUACCUCUAUGACAAUGAGACCCUGCUGACUGUGAGCAAAAUUAUCCCACACCCGGACUUCUACACCUUCCAGAAUGGGGCAGACAUUGCCCUGCUGAAACUCACAAACCCUGUGAACAUUUCCAGCAACGUCAGCCUUGUCUCUCUGCCUCCUGCCUCCACAACCUUCCCCUCAGGAACAUGGUGCUGGGCGACAGGCUGGGGCGACAUUGCAAAAAAUGUACACCUGCCUUAUCCAUUUCCUUUGCUGGAAGUACAAGUUCCCAUUGUAGGAAACCGCCUCUGUGACUUGAUGUUUCAUAAAGGUCUCAGCACAGGUGACCAUAUCCGCAUUGUCCAUGAUGACAUGCUCUGUGCUGGGAAAGAAGGGCGUGGCAUUUGUCAGGGCGACUCCGGAGGACCUCUGGUCUGCUAUGGAAAAAACACCUGGCUGCAGGCAGGUGUGGUGAGCUGGGAAAGGGGUUGCAGCCAGAGCAUCUGGCCUUCUGUCUACACCCGGGUCACCUAUUACCUGAACUGGAUCCACCGCUAUGUCCCCAGGGACUUCUGAGUCGAAUCCAGGGUGACCUCUGUUGCUCCCAACAUGCUGCUUCCUGCCCAGGUGGCAUCCCUGCCUUCCUCUCCUGCUCCCCAUCCUGAGCCCCAACUCUGCUCUACCUAAGCCCCUGACCACCCAUGUCCUCCCACUCUGGUAGCUACGCUGUGCAGGCGGCCACUCUCUGCUGUGGCUCAAUAAAAUGCAUUAAAGCUGC